RNAcentral lists this ribosomal RNA (253 nucleotides) under uncultured bacterium. Its description in RNAcentral is "partial 16S ribosomal RNA". It matches the Rfam family "Bacterial small subunit ribosomal RNA", at positions 524 to 776 of the family's 1533-position model. The record is from RNAcentral.
UACGGAGGGUGCAAGCGUUAUCCGGAUUCACUGGGUUUAAAGGGUGCGUAGGUGGGCAGGUAAGUCAGUGGUGAAAUCUCUGAGCUUAACUCAGAAACUGCCGUUGAUACUAUCUGUCUUGAAUGUAGUGGAGGUGAGCGGAAUAAGUCAUGUAGCGGUGAAAUGCAUAGAUAUGACUUAGAACACCAAUUGCGAAGGCAGCUUACUAUGGUAUGAUUGACGCUGAGGCACGAAAGCUAGGGGAGCAAACAGG